Non-coding RNA from Arabis alpina (gray rockcress), 111 nucleotides. The record is from Rfam. Lineage: Eukaryota; Viridiplantae; Streptophyta; Magnoliopsida; Brassicales; Brassicaceae.
AAUCCAUGAUCAGGACAAUCUCUUAGGUAAUCCUUAAUGCGUUCCCAAGCAUCAUGGAAACUUUCCAAAAGGUCCUUGUUGGAAUCGUUGUAUCUUAUUCAUUAAGAGAUU